UUUUUUUUUAUAAUAAAACAUAUUUCAUUAAAGGAUUACUGGAAAUCGUCCAGCACAAUUGAGAUACAUUGCUGCCCUGAUGGCAGAUAAACAUGCACUAAAAUUAUAGAUCUGCAAUUUAACAAAUACAUAAGAUUUGAGAAAUUAAGAACAGAUCUAAAAAGUACCAUAAAUUUGAAAAACAUUUCAUCAUAGAAAAAGUCGCUGCAGUUCUCUUUGUGCAUGCUGUAAUCGUCAGAUCUGCUAAUCAACAGUUGUAAGGUCCAAUAAAGAUGGUGAGAUCUGCCGAGAUUGAUCCAAAUCUGAAAUAUUCCCUCAGAUCUGCUAUCCAACUGGUUCAAGUUCAAAACCGAAAAUGAGAUCUGAUGAGAAGACUGAAGAAAUUGUAGAUCUAACAUAUAGAUCUAAAAAAACUCCAAGAUCUGAAAAAGUAAAGAACAAAACUAAAUAAAACUCUCACUAAGAUAGUUUAGGAGAGACUAAAACCCUCAAUAGGACACCCUAGAAGAGAAGAAAACUCUCACUAUGAUAACUUAGGAGAGACUUUAUUGAAUGGAAGGAAGAGCAAAGGACAAAGGAAGAGGAAGGGAGACCUUGGUUUAAGGCUAAGAUCUCCCUCCUAUGGAGGAGGAAGGGUAGAGGAGGAAACCUAGAGAGAAGGAAGAGAAUCCCUCCGCUAAUAACACUUUAAUUAAGACAGGGAACAAAUUGCUCACCUGAUUCUGGGGUGCUCCCUACCCUUCUCAUGUUGGAUUUUUCACGCCUCUAUCACAUCUCCCCCUCUUCUCUCUCUUUCUGCCCUUUCAAAACCUUCUAUAGAAUAUAUUACUAUUUCAUUAGGGAAAUGUUAAUCACACUCUAAUUUUUUAUAAAGAUACUCCCACUGGUAUUUUUUUC
Molecule: long non-coding RNA, 897 nt
Filed under: Coffea arabica (coffee)
Lineage: Eukaryota; Viridiplantae; Streptophyta; Magnoliopsida; Gentianales; Rubiaceae
Description: long non-coding RNA (CARA_LNC001667)
Source: RNAcentral